RNAcentral lists this ribosomal RNA (636 nucleotides) under Desmophyllum dianthus. Its description in RNAcentral is "eukaryotic LSU rRNA". The stretch from base 229 to 382 matches the Rfam family "5.8S ribosomal RNA". The record is from RNAcentral. Lineage: Eukaryota; Metazoa; Cnidaria; Anthozoa; Scleractinia; Caryophylliidae.
AUUACCGAUGAUAUUCGUCCAACAACUACACAGUUGUACCUUGUGAACCGUACCAAACUAUUCAGGGGUCGGCUUGUCCGUUAAAUGGUCGUCGGACGCGAGAGAUCGCGGCCGCUCGACCGGCCCCGCACGCGUUUUGUUUUUUAUAAACAUAUGUGUACCUGUCUGACCAAGCGUUGCGGCCGGCCCAAGGGUCGGUCGCGGCAAUUAGAGCAAAAAACGAGAUACAACUUUUGACGGUGGAUCUCUUGGCUCACGCAUCGAUGAAGAACGCAGCCAGCUGCGAUAAGUAGUGUGAAUUGCAGAAUUCAGUGAAUCAUCGAAUCUUUGAACGCAAAUGGCGCUCUUGGGUUCUCCCAGGAGCAUGUCUGUCUGAGUGUCGGAUAUCAUCCAACGCACGCCAGCGUGCGGAAUUGAGRCGUCACGGUCCGUACUGCACGGACCGUGUCCCUUGAAAGUCAGAGAGACUCGCCGCGUCGCGGGAAGAUUCCCCGUGCACACCAGCGGAGGCUAAAAUGUCUUUUGCCCUUCGCGUGCCGGGAAGUCGCCGCGUGCGGCGGUCGUCGUCGGGCGAACUUUAAUUAUCUUGACCUCAGAUCAGGCAAGGCUACCCGCUGAAUUUAAGCAUAUUAAUAA